RNAcentral lists this transfer RNA (74 nucleotides) under uncultured archaeon. RNAcentral's name for it is "tRNA-Met(cat)". It matches the Rfam family "tRNA". Rfam says of the family: Transfer RNA (tRNA) molecules are approximately 80 nucleotides in length. Their secondary structure includes four short double-helical elements and three loops (D, anti-codon, and T loops). The record is from RNAcentral.
UGCCGGAGUAGCUCAGCGGUUGAGCGCCAGUUUCAUAAGCUGGAGGUCGGCGGUCCGAAUCCGCCCUCCGGCAU